UGUGUAGGUGGCAGUGUUAGUCGUUUGUUAAAGCCUGGGGCUCAACCCCAGAAUCGCGAACGAAACGGCACAGCUAGAGGAUGCGAGGGAUGUAUGGAACUCAUGGAGUAGGGGUGAAAUCCGUUGAUAUCAUGGGGAACACCGGAAGCGAAGGCAGUACAUUGGCGCACUCCUGACACUGAAACACGAAAGCGUGGGUAGCGAAUG
This 207-nucleotide ribosomal RNA is filed under the name uncultured bacterium. RNAcentral describes it as "partial 16S ribosomal RNA". It matches the Rfam family "Bacterial small subunit ribosomal RNA", at positions 568 to 774 of the family's 1533-position model. The record is from RNAcentral.